AUUGAACGCUGGCGGCAGGCCUAACACAUGCAAGUCGAGCGGAUGAAGGGAGCUUGCUCCUGGAUUCAGCGGCGGACGGGUGAGUAAUGCCUAGGAAUCUGCCUGGUAGUGGGGGAUAACGUCCGGAAACGGGCGCUAAUACCGCAUACGUCCUGAGGGAGAAAGUGGGGGAUCUUCGGACCUCACGCUAUCAGAUGAGCCUAGGUCGGAUUAGCUAGUUGGUGGGGUAAAGGCCUACCAAGGCGACGAUCCGUAACUGGUCUGAGAGGAUGAUCAGUCAAAUGGGAACGGGAAAAGGGCCCAGACCCCAACGGGGGGCAGCAGGGGGAAAUUUUGGACAAGGGGGGAAAGCCUGAGCCACCCAUGCGGGGGGGGGGAAGAAGGUCUCCGGUUUGUAAAGCAUUUUAAGUGGGGAGGAAGGGCGGUAAGUUAAUACCUUGCUUUUUUGAGGUAACCAACAAAAAAAGCACCGGCAAACUUCGG
RNAcentral lists this ribosomal RNA (483 nucleotides) under uncultured bacterium. RNAcentral's name for it is "partial 16S ribosomal RNA". It matches the Rfam family "Bacterial small subunit ribosomal RNA", at positions 29 to 506 of the family's 1533-position model. The record is from RNAcentral.